RNAcentral lists this ribosomal RNA (305 nucleotides) under uncultured bacterium. Its description in RNAcentral is "partial 16S ribosomal RNA". It matches the Rfam family "Bacterial small subunit ribosomal RNA", at positions 505 to 807 of the family's 1533-position model. The record is from RNAcentral.
ACAGCAGCAGCCGCGGUAACACGUAGGGUGCAAGCGUUAAUCGGAAUUACUGGGCGUAAAGCGUGCGCAGGCGGUUAUAUAAGACAGAUGUGAAAUCCCCGGGCUCAACCUGGGAACUGCAUUUGUGACUGUAUAGCUAGAGUACGGCAGAGGGGGAUGGAAUUCCGCGUGUAGCAGUGAAAUGCGUAGAUAUGCGGAGGAACACCGAUGGCGAAGGCAAUCCCCUGGGCCUGUACUGACGCUCAUGCACGAAAGCGUGGGGAGCAAACAGGAUUAGAUACCCCAGUAGUCCCUGUCUCUUAUAC